CCCUUAGAUGUUCGGGGCCGCACGCGCGCUACACUGAAUGAAUCAGCGAGUGUAUGUCCUAGGCCGAAAGGUCCGGGUAACCCGUUGAACCUCAUUCGUGAUUGGGAUAGGGACUUGCAAUUGUUUCCCUUGAACGAGGAAUUCCCAGUAAGCGCAAGUCAUCAGCUUGCGUUGAUUACGUCCCUGCCCUUUGUACACACCGCCCGUCGCUACUACCGAUUGAACGUUUUAGUGAGGUAUUUGGAUCGGACCUGAAGGGGUUCACGCCCUUUCUGUGUCUGAGAAGACUCCCAAACUUGAGCGUUUAGAGGAAGUAAAAGUCGUAACA
RNAcentral lists this ribosomal RNA (328 nucleotides) under uncultured eukaryote. RNAcentral describes it as "partial 18S ribosomal RNA". It matches the Rfam family "Eukaryotic small subunit ribosomal RNA", at positions 1470 to 1796 of the family's 1831-position model. The record is from RNAcentral.